RNAcentral lists this long non-coding RNA (1213 nucleotides) under Cricetulus griseus (Chinese hamster). Its description in RNAcentral is "lncRNA (ENSCGRG00015032935.1)". The record is from RNAcentral. Lineage: Eukaryota; Metazoa; Chordata; Mammalia; Rodentia; Cricetidae.
GGCCUCAUGUUUCUGGGCCUGUGGUACAGCAAAAACACCACGAAAGAAAUGAGCACGGGAGGAAAGCUCCUCGUGUUACAGAAACUACAAAACACGAUAUGUGGUCAAGAGGCGGGGACAAGAUACACCCUGCAAAGGGGUGCUUACAGAGACUUGUUUCUACCACGGAGUCACCACCUCCUAGGAAUGCCGUAAGGGUAUGAGCCAACCAGUGGAUUAAUCCACUCCUGAGGUCUUCAAGAAUCAAACGCAUUCUGAACGCUGCUGCCACUAGAGACCAAGCUUUCAAUAUAUGAGCUUUUCCUGGUGACACUUUGUGGCUUGACAGCUGGAAGACAAACACUGCCAUGGCCAGGUAUUGCAGGCUGGGCUGGUAACACAGAGAAAGAGAUGGAGAAAGCAGUGGUGUUGCAGUAACACUGAGGUGUUGGCAAGUCAAGCUGUGAAAGUUUGACAGCUGAAGAAGAAGCAACUGAGCAACUUGAGAGCAGCCGGGCAGGAAGAAAAGCCACGGAGGUAGAGAGAUACUAAGAGAGGGUGGAGAGCUAAGGCAAAAUGACAAAGGAUAUAAAGAACCAGACAAGAGAAACUGCAGACUUUGGUCAUAGAAGAGUUCCAGAGAGUUGUCAAGUCUUGUGGGACAAGGGUCUCAGACACCCCAGGUCAAGAGCUAGCUGCUGUCAAGAACUGAGGAAUUCCUGCUGCCCAGGUCUGCCUAGAACUCUCAGUUGAGGGCUGAGGAACCUUGACUUCCUAGGUCUAUGUAAGAGCUGUUAUAUCUGUAGGCCUACAGGUUUUGCUAUCUGAGGCUUGUGUGUGAACUGUAGCAACAGAGGAUACCACCCGCUGCAGCUCCUACCUGCUUACUGCUGUGGCUCACUGAGGUCAAACACCCAGGAAAACAAGCUGACAAGGACCAGUGCUUGAAGAGUGUUUCCUUAUCUACCCAUGAUUCUAUCUGGAUAGAGCAAAGGGCCCACGCUAGAUGAUUGGAAACACCCAUACAUUCAAAAUUCAUCUCUUCUGAGACAUAGAACAAUCCCUUAAUUUGGAUCUUCUAUUUAAAAAGAAAGCCGAAUAUUGUGGUGCAUGACUGUAAAACCACACUGCUGAUAACGUCUCCAUCAGAGUGCACUGCUCAUCUGAUCUCAGACUUUCUGCAGAUGUGUAGGUCUCCACACAGCUGUCAGUCAAACAGCCAGUGAGAUUAAGG